Molecule: RNA transcript, 2469 nt
Organism: Lolium rigidum
Lineage: Eukaryota; Viridiplantae; Streptophyta; Magnoliopsida; Poales; Poaceae
Exons: 3
Source: RefSeq, a predicted model, not a curated record
CGCUUCUGGAGCUGACGCCGCAUAGGACGGCGGUGUGCCAUCUAGUGCAGGUCUGCGCGUCGCCGGGGGCGCAGGAAGAGGGGCCCCUAGCCGGGCUGCCAUUCCCGUUCGAGUCCGUCGCCCACCACAACUGCCUCGGGCUCUUCUUCUUCUCCCUCACCCAGAAACACCAAUUGUGGAUGGUGAUUGUGCUCAAUCUUCCAUGUUAUUGAGGAUUUUAGGCAGUCUAAGUAUGUUGGAGCAGAUUGGCCGAACAAUUUAACAAAAGGAACAAGUGAGGCGGUUCAUCGUCUCCCCAUAAUCAAAAUGCAGGCCCCUCAUAUGGAAACCGUAAUGCCCCACAGUGUAUGAAGUCUGGUACUUUUCUCAAGACAUGAUGGUUUUUAGGUAAGUUUCGGUAUAUGAAUUCCUCGGUAUGUACUACAGGUGCUGGUCGUGAAGGAUCACUUGGAAGGACAUACGAUUCAAAAGGAACAUCUAACAACAAAGAAAAUUGUAUAUUCAAUUAACACUCAUAAUAUAGUACUAAAAUGUGAAGUUGAAAUGGAAAAUAGAGAAUGGGCAUACCUUGUUCAGUAAAUAUUCUAGCUUCUUCAUCAGGCUCAUGGAAUGCACCUUGUUCACUUUGCACCGUCCCCUCGCAAGCUAGGAGGUAAUAUAUUGGUCAAACAUAAUUGUUUUCGUGAAGAAUUUGGAGUGUGCAAGACAAUAUAUAAAUGUACCCUCUAAAUUGGAUUGUUGAAAAAUGGGCUCAAAUAUUCCAUAUGGAUCAUCUGCCUGCUCGUUGCCUACUAUGAAAAUCAUCAGAUGAGUAGAGCAUAAUAACAAUAUAAGUAUUGUAGCAGAUGUAGGGUUAAUCAUCUUACUUUGCAGUUCUCCAUUGGUUUGACCAGCAUUCUCAGACAUACAUUUAGUUCGGGUAUUUUGAGGUUGAUUGGAGCCAAUAGAAGGGUAUGUAACUGAAUAAAGAAAAGAUAAUUACGGUGAAAUAAACAAUGUGCCUUAUGUUGCACUAAUAAAUAAACCAAUGGACUAACACGCCUGUUGAAUUAUGCAAUCUUGGUUGGUUAGGUUGAUAAUUUUUCCAAGUUGGGGUAGGUCAAAACCUUCCAGUAGGGUGAUGGGAUAUGAAUAGUGUUUCAAUCAUAUUAAGAUCCACCAUAAAGCUGAUAAUACUUUUACUUAUUUGAAAUACUAUCCUAUGCGAACACAAUGACAUUACCUUGUGAACUAUCCCGUGCGAUGGUGGAAAUUGUCUGCGGUUCCUGACCAAGAGGCAUCGCUACAACUCUCAUCCUUCCUGCAAUUUGUUGCAUUUGGUAUGCACCAUUCCUGUGCAACCAACUGUUAUCAUCUUUGUCUGUUGCAUUAUUCUCCUUCUGGUGUGGGAUGCCUCCAAGUGAUUGUGAACCAUUUGGUAGAUUCGGUAAGCCUUCAAGAUAUGACAUUGCAGACCGCACAUAAUAAUUAACAAUUUUCCAGCUAAAAGUAAAUAAGCAUUAAAUAAUUUGUGGUAUUAUGCAACCUGCACAGGAUAUGUUGUGUAGUUGGAUGACAGCCGAUUGUCCUGUUGCUGGUGUCUGUGACACACUGUCACCGCCGUUGAGGAGGGCAGAUGCAUUUUUUUUCUGCUCACGUGAUUGGCGUUGUCGUUUUAAUAUUUCCUCUCUAUUCUGUGAAUAAUACAACCUUUGCCGCUGCCUCUUUGUCUCUUUAAGAUCUGCAUAUAUAGACGAAAAAACAAAUUAGUAGAAAAAAGUAGGGGUGUAUGCAGUGGUUGAUCGUCAUUACCAAGAGAUACGGCGGACACUGGUGUGUGUGUCUCAUUUUCUUGGUCAUUGUUAUGGCUAGGAGCAGAAGCCACAUUUUUCUGACUGUAAGCUUCACGUUGCCUCUUUAAUAUCUUGUCCCUAUUUUGUGAAUACCGUUCCCUCUCCCGUUGCCUCUUUAGUUCCAGAGCGUCUUCAUUACUUUGGGACAUGGACAGGGGUGUAUGUGGUACAUUUUGCUUGUCAUUAGGCAGGGUUACUGAAUUUUUUUUCUUUUCAUUGGAUUCACGCCGUCUUUGCUGAAUAUCAUCUUUAUAUCGUGCAUAAUAUUCUCUGUCCCUCUGUCUCUUCAAUGUUUUAGGGUCUGUGUACAUCCAUACCGUUAUUUAGCAGUACAUCAAAAUAUCAGUCAGUAGGCAUUGUUUGCUGACACUUACCCAAGGAGCUGGUGUUGCUUAUAUCCUGAAGAGGGGUGCGUCCCACAUCACGAUUCGGAGAUGCCAUCCUAGAAGCUUAUCCAGGGAACAGUACAACAACAAUAGUGUUCAUAUGAAUAUGCAUGGCAUUAAUUAAAUAAACAGGUUUUCCUUUUUUCCGAUAAUAUUUUAAGCAGUGACGGUGGUGUUUGAUGAAACAAGUGUUUUUUCAAAGAAUAGGAUAUCUCGGGUAAUAAGCUUGAUUCUCUAUCGUUUUCUAUCAA